Molecule: long non-coding RNA, 875 nt
Organism: Onychostoma macrolepis
Lineage: Eukaryota; Metazoa; Chordata; Actinopteri; Cypriniformes; Cyprinidae
Exons: 4
Source: RefSeq, a predicted model, not a curated record
GCAACAUGGGAGGCUCCAAGAUUUCACAAUUUCUGAAGGGAGCCGCAGACAGAGAAGUAAGGAACACAAGUGAACAGGUGAAGCUUCUAAACAUUUUUAAGAGGGCUUUGACAUCCACAAGUAAGAAGUAUGAGCAAUAUUAAAUAAGUAAACCUAGAAGCAAAUUGUUAUGUUAAAAAAAUAUUUUCUGUAUAUUCUUCUUUCUCUUUUCUACAUUUCACCUGCUCUAGCUUGGUUCCUUGUAAUAAACCUGGCUGGCAUUGUAUACUAAAUAUUGUUGGCUCUGUGACAAAUUGCUUGUUAUGUUCCUACAUUCUUCCAUGUUGAUGGCCUGCACACCAGACUUAGAGCGGACCUCCUGUCGGACAACAUCUCCCAGGCACAAUGAACCAUAUGGCUAAUGCUCACAAAGGUUACUAGAGAUUACACCAGUUCCAGUUUGGAUCCAGCCUGGCGUGUGAAGACUUCAGAAGACGCCAGCACUCAAAGACUUCAGAUGAUGGCAACUAGAUGAACAUACAAAGCUGCCAAAUAAUCCUUAUAUUGUAAUCAUGGCCCUAAAAGGGAGGAACUUGUCAACAAAUCUACCGCACAGCGCAUCAAUGAAAGCAGUUUGACAAUUACAGACGGUGUGUUGGAUCAGGGUUAGAUCUGAAUUCUGCAGGUUUUCUGGAUUCCCAGUUGAAGACAUCAGUACAUCAGAUGUUGACCUGGACAGCUGUAUCUACAGUACACCACACUGACCUCUCUGCUUUUGCAUAGAUGACUUACUACUACCAUGUUCUAUAGUAUUAUUGGUAUUAUGUUCUAAGGUAUUAUUAUAGUAAAACUGAGCACCAGUGGAAUUUGUAGUUGUAAAGAAUAGACACAUGCGA